Molecule: ribosomal RNA, 1380 nt
Filed under: Clavispora lusitaniae ATCC 42720
Lineage: Eukaryota; Fungi; Ascomycota; Pichiomycetes; Serinales; Metschnikowiaceae
Description: Bacterial small subunit ribosomal RNA
Rfam family: Bacterial small subunit ribosomal RNA
Source: Rfam by way of RNAcentral
AAUAAAGAGAACAUGAUGUUGGUUCAGAUCAAAUGCUAUGUAGAAGCAUAACACAUGCAAGUUAUUUUAAUAUUUAUUAAAAUAGCGAUAAGGUGAGUGAUAUAAGAUAAUAAAUUAUCUUAUUCAGAUGUAGGUAUUAGAGUUAAUCUAGCCAUCGAACUGGAGCCGACGAUUAUCGUCACAACGGCCACAUUGAUAUAAUAUCAACUCUUAUUAAGAGCAGCAGUGGGGAAUCUUUGACAAUGGUCUAACGACUGAUCAAGCUAUCUACGAGAAGGAAUUAUUAAAUACUUAUUCUUUAAGAAUAAGUUAAAUAUAUCCAUAUUAUAAAUAUGGAUAUGUAAUAAUAAUAAUAAAGAUAAAAACUAUAAACUUCUAAGUAAUUAUAAUAAUGAUAUAAAUUACGAAAGAGUCCUAACUAAAACAUGUGCCAGCAGCUGCGGUUAGACAUGGAGGGCUAGCAUUGUUCAAAAUGGCUUAAAGGAUCUGUAGAACUUAUAAAUAUAUAAUAUAUAUAUUUAUAUAGAAUAAAUUAAAGGUAAUAAGAAAUAAAGUUAUAGAGAUAAAAUUCAUCGAAAACAUUAUGACUACAAAGAGAUUACUUAAAUUUAUUGACGUUGUGAGAUGAAGGCUACGGUAGCGACAUGGAUUCGAUACCCAUUUAGCUUCGUAGCAGUAAACUAUGAGUACAAUAAUUAGAAAAGUGAAAAUGAAUAGUACUCCGCCUGACUAGUAUCGCUCGCAAGGGUGAAAUACAAGACAUUAGACGGUUGUAGUCCCUAGCAGUGGAACAUGUCAUUUAAUUGGAUGAUCCCCCUUAAACCUUACCAUCUCUUGAAUUAUUAACCGGCGUUACAUCGUUGUCGUCAGUUCAUGCCGUGAGGUAUUAUAUUAAGUUAUUAAAUGAACGUAACCCUUUUUCCCCCUCUAUAUAUUUAUAUAUAGUUAUGGAAAUAUUUAUUAUUUUACGAUACAUAGGAAGUCGAGGUUGAAGACUAAUCAUGAUGACCCUAAUGAGAUGGGCUAUAGACGUGUUACAAUAUUAUUUACAAUUAUAAUAUAUAUACUCAUAACUCUUUUAGAGUUAUUAAUUAUAUUAAUAUAUAUUUAUUUAAAUGAUAAGAAUAUGACAUAGUUUUCUUUUAUGGAUUGUAAUCUGAAAUUCGGUUACAUAAAGGAGGAAUUGCUAGUAAUCGCGAACUAGAGUGUCGCGGUGAAAUUUUUUGCUACUUCGUACUAACCACUUCAUCAACAGCAAGAAAUUUUUAUUUUCCUCUUUUACUUUUUUUUUAAGUUUAAUGAGGUUAAUUGAUAAAAGGACCUGCUGUAAGUUGAAAUACGGGUUCGGUUAGGGGAACCUGAUCGGGAUUUAUAUUUUAU